UACGAAGGUGUCUAGCGUUGUUCGGAAUCACUGGGCGUAAAGCGCGCGUAGGCGGCUUUGCAAGUCAGAGGUGAAAUCCUGAGGCUUAACCUCAGAAUUGCCUUUGAAACUGCAAAGCUGGAGUACUGGAGAGGAUAGCGGAAUUCCUAAUGUAGCGGUGAAAUGCGUAGAUAUUAGGAGGAACACCGAUGGCGAAGGCAGCUAUCUGGACAGUAACUGACGCUGAGGCGCGAAAGCGUGGGGAUCAAACAGG
RNAcentral lists this ribosomal RNA (253 nucleotides) under uncultured bacterium. RNAcentral describes it as "partial 16S ribosomal RNA". It matches the Rfam family "Bacterial small subunit ribosomal RNA", at positions 524 to 776 of the family's 1533-position model. The record is from RNAcentral.